AGUAAAAUGGCCGAGAAUAAGCGAUAAACUGUAAAUUUAUAAACGAAAUUAAUUUCUUUUACU
RNAcentral lists this transfer RNA (63 nucleotides) under Ochthebius lividipennis. RNAcentral's name for it is "tRNA-Tyr". It matches the Rfam family "tRNA". From Rfam's summary of the family: Transfer RNA (tRNA) molecules are approximately 80 nucleotides in length. The record is from RNAcentral. Lineage: Eukaryota; Metazoa; Arthropoda; Insecta; Coleoptera; Hydraenidae.